Small nuclear RNA from Ailuropoda melanoleuca (giant panda), 85 nucleotides. Its record names the gene U2. It matches the Rfam family "U2 spliceosomal RNA". From Rfam's summary of the family: U2 is a small nuclear RNA (snRNA) component of the spliceosome (involved in pre-mRNA splicing). NCBI's taxonomy places the organism in Eukaryota, Metazoa, Chordata, Mammalia, Carnivora, Ursidae. The record is from Ensembl.
AUCACUUCUUGGCCUUUUGGCUAAGAUCAAGUGUAGUACAGGCAAUCAAACUAAUCAUUUAUAAUAUUGAACUCCAUCAUCUUUU